UGGCGGGAUGGCUCCCGCCUAGAAGGGUGGCCAGAAGAAGGCGGUUCUGCCGUCCUCGAGGUCGCGACCCGGAGCGCGCCCAUGGAGUGGGCUUCCAGAACGGCUCCUCGCACUGAAAGAUGUCGACAUCUGCCAGGAAGGAGAUGGGGACUCCAGAGGUGCGCGCGACCCCAGGCGCGACAGAGCUGCUGGGCCAAAGGAAUAAGGAAGGCCCCGCGUGGUGUCCGUGUGCGAUUACCCAGAAAAGGUGCGAGGAGGAAGGUCACCACCAGGCUGUGUGCUUUGGUAACCCUGUCCCCGUUACCACGGUCAGAAACCUACAGUCGCUGUGGAUGACAGCUAACUGCUGAGAGUUGAAUGAAGUAUAAAACUGUUAAAAUUCUAAAUGAAUACUCUCAAGUGGGUUUUCCAAUGUAUUAAAAAGAACAAUACAUCAUGACCCAAAAGAGAGGUUCAUUUCAGGCAUGAAGGACCAUUCAUCGCUAAAGGAAAUCUAUUAAGAAAAGGUUGGCACACUAGUGGGUUAAGG
This 529-nucleotide long non-coding RNA is filed under the name Marmota monax (woodchuck). The record is from RNAcentral. Lineage: Eukaryota; Metazoa; Chordata; Mammalia; Rodentia; Sciuridae.